RNAcentral lists this ribosomal RNA (468 nucleotides) under uncultured bacterium. RNAcentral's name for it is "partial 16S ribosomal RNA". It matches the Rfam family "Bacterial small subunit ribosomal RNA", at positions 28 to 507 of the family's 1533-position model. The record is from RNAcentral.
GACGAACGCUGGCGGCGUGCUUAACACAUGCAAGUCGAACGGAAAGACCCUGCUUUUGUGGGGUGCUCGAGUGGCGAACGGGUGAGUAACACGUGAGUAACCUGCCCUUGACUUUGGGAUAACUUCAGGAAACUGGGGCUAAUACCGGAUAGGAGCUCCUGCUGCAUGGUGGGGGUUGGAAAGUUUCGGCGGUUGGGGAUGGACUCGCGGCUUAUCAGCUUGUUGGUGGGGUAGUGGCUUACCAAGGCUUUGACGGGUAGCCGGCCUGAGAGGGUGACCGGCCACAUUGGGACUGAGAUACGACCCAGACUCCUACGGGAGGCAGCAGUGGGGAAUAGUGCACAAUGGGCGGAAGCCUGAUGCAGCAACGCCGCGUGCGGGAUGACGGCCUUCGGGUUGUAAACCGCUUUCGCCUGUGACGAAGCGUGAGUGACGGUAAUGGGUAAAGAAGCACCGGCUAACUACGUG